This 288-nucleotide long non-coding RNA is filed under the name Phoenix dactylifera (date palm). Its description in RNAcentral is "long non-coding RNA (PDAC_LNC020840)". The record is from RNAcentral. Lineage: Eukaryota; Viridiplantae; Streptophyta; Magnoliopsida; Arecales; Arecaceae.
AAAUAUAGAACAAAGAUUUUUAUUUUUAAUUUUUCAAAAAAAUUAAGAAUAUAUAGAAUGGUAUAUUUUACUUUUUUGAUUUCCAAUAAAUACAAAAAGACAGCCAACCUAUCUUCUAAUCAUUGAGGCCUUUGAACAUUCAAACUAGUUUCAUUUUUCCCUUCCUCUAAAUUCAAACUGCAAGAGUAUCAUAAGCAAUGAAGGAAAUCAUAUUAUAUUAAGUCCAGAUCAGUUUCGAGUUCAAAUUAGAUUUCAUGAGGCUCAUCUAAAACAGGCAGCAUUUUCAUU